UCUGGAGUAAAAGGNUAUGGCUCAACCAUAGUGUGNUCUGGAAACUGUCUGACUUGAGUGCAGAAGGGGAGAGUGGAAUUCCAUGUGUAGCGGUGAAAUGCGUAGAUAUAUGGAGGANCACCAGUGGCGAAAGCGGCUCUCUGGUCUGUCACUGACGCUGAGGCUCGAAAGCGUGGGUAGCGAACAGGAUUAGAUACCNUGGUAGUCCACGCCGUAAACGAUGAGUGCUAGGUUUUAGGCCCUUUCCGGGGCUUAGUGCCGGAGCUAAUGCAAUAAGCACUCCGCCUGGGGAGUACGACCGCAAGGUUGAAACUCAAAGGAAUUGACGGGGGCCCGCACAAGCGGUGGAGCAUGUGGUUUAAUUCGAAGCAACGCGAAGAACCUUACCAGGUCUUGACAUCCCGAUGCUAUUCUUAGAGAUAGGAAGUUACUUCGGUACAUCGGAGACAGGUGGUGCAUGGUUGUCGUCAGCUCGUGUCGUGAGAUGUUGGGUUAAGUCCCGCAACGAGCGCAACCCUUAUUGUUAGUUGCCAUCAUUAAGUUGGGCACUCUAGCGAGACUGCCGGUAAUAAACCGGAGGAAGGUGGGGAUGACGUCAAAUCAUCAUGCCCCUUAUGACCUGGGCUACACACGUGCUACAAUGGUCGGUACAACGAGUUGCGAGCCGGUGACGGCAAGCUAAUCUCUGAAAGCCGAUCUCAGUUCGGAUUGGAGGCUGCAACUCGCCUCCAUGAAGUCGGAAUCGCUAGUAAUCGCGGAUCAGCACGCCGCGGUGAAUACGUUCCCGGGCCUUGUACACACCGCCCGUCACACCACGAGAGUUUGUAACACCCGAAGUCGGUGAGGUANCCUUUUAGGG
This 859-nucleotide ribosomal RNA is filed under the name uncultured bacterium. RNAcentral's name for it is "bacterial SSU rRNA". It matches the Rfam family "Bacterial small subunit ribosomal RNA", at positions 588 to 1447 of the family's 1533-position model. The record is from RNAcentral.